GUGCCAGCCGCCGCGGUAAUACGUAGGGUGCAAGCGUUAAUCGGAAUUACUGGGCGUAAAGCGUGCGCAGGCGGUUAUAUAAGACAGAUGUGAAAUCCCCGGGCUUAACCUGGGACCUGCGUUUGUGACUGUAUAGCUGGAGUACGGUAGAGGGGGAUGGAAUUUCUCGUGUAGCAGUGAAAUGCGUAGAUAUGAGAAGGAACACCGAUGGCGAAGGCAAUCCCCUGGACCUGUACUGACGCUCAUGCACGAAAGCGUGGGGAGCAAACGGGAUUAGAUACCCUGGUAGUCCACGCCCUAAACGAUGUCAACUGGUUGUUGGGUCUUCACUGACUCAGUAACGAAGCUAACGCGUGAAGUUGACCGCCUGGGGAGUACGGCCGCAAGGUUGAA
RNAcentral lists this ribosomal RNA (393 nucleotides) under uncultured bacterium. RNAcentral's name for it is "bacterial SSU rRNA". It matches the Rfam family "Bacterial small subunit ribosomal RNA", at positions 505 to 898 of the family's 1533-position model. The record is from RNAcentral.